UGGGCUCGAAAUGUAGAGGACGACGCAAGAGAUUGCGUUUCCCGAAAGGGUCUCUAUAU
RNAcentral lists this ribosomal RNA (59 nucleotides) under uncultured organism. RNAcentral describes it as "partial 16S ribosomal RNA". The record is from RNAcentral.